UAUCAAUGCUGACGAGCGGCGGACGGGUGAGUAAUGCCUGGGAAUAUGCCCUGAUGUGGGGGAUAACUAUUGGAAACGAUAGCUAAUACCGCAUAAUCUCUUCGGAGCAAAGAGGGGGACCUUCGGGCCUCUCGCGUCAGGAUUAGCCCAGGUGGGAUUAGCUUGUUGGUGAGGUAAUGGCUCACCAAGGCAACGAUCCCUAGCUGGUCUGAGAGGAUGAUCAGCCACACUGGAACUGAGACACGGUCCAGACUCCUACGGGAGGCAGCAGUGGGGAAUAUUGCACAAUGGGGGAAACCCUGAUGCAGCCAUGCCGCGUGUAUGAAGAAGGCCUUCGGGUUGUAAAGUACUUUCAGUUGUGAGGAAGGCAGUAAAGUUAAUAGCUUUGCUGUUUGACGUUAGCAACAGAAGAAGCACCGGCUAACUCCGUGCCAGCAGCCGCGGUAAUACGGAGGGUGCGAGCGUUAAUCGGAAUUACUGGGCGUAAAGCGCAUGCAGGUGGUCUGUUAAGCAAGAUGUGAAAGCCCGGGGCUCAACCUCGGAACAGCAUUUUGAACUGGCAGACUAGAGUACUGUAGAGGGGGGUAGAAUUUCAGGUGUAGCGGUGAAAUGCGUAGAGAUCUGA
RNAcentral lists this ribosomal RNA (625 nucleotides) under Photobacterium angustum. RNAcentral describes it as "bacterial SSU rRNA". It matches the Rfam family "Bacterial small subunit ribosomal RNA", at positions 80 to 701 of the family's 1533-position model. The record is from RNAcentral. Lineage: Bacteria; Pseudomonadati; Pseudomonadota; Gammaproteobacteria; Vibrionales; Vibrionaceae.